RNAcentral lists this ribosomal RNA (404 nucleotides) under Verrucomicrobiota bacterium. RNAcentral's name for it is "Verrucomicrobia bacterium partial 16S ribosomal RNA". It matches the Rfam family "Bacterial small subunit ribosomal RNA", at positions 355 to 776 of the family's 1533-position model. The record is from RNAcentral. Lineage: Bacteria; Pseudomonadati; Verrucomicrobiota.
UGGGGAAUAUUGCACAAUGGGGGAAACCCUGAUGCAGCGACGCCGCGUGAGCGAUGAAGGCUUUCGAGUCGUAAAGCUCUGUCCUAUGGGAAGAUAAUGACGGUACCAUAGAAGAAAGCCCCGGCUAAUUACGUGCCAGCAGCCGCGGUAAUACGUAAGGGGCGAGCGUUGUCCGGAAUUAUUGGGCGUAAAGAGUGCGUAGGCGGCAAAUUAAGUCAGAUGUGAAAACUAAGGGCUCAACCCAUAGAUUGCAUCUGAAACUGAUAUGCUUGAGUCAAGGAGAGGAAAGUGGAAUUCCUAGUGUAGCGGUGGAAUGCGUAGAUAUUAGGGGGAAUACCGGUGGCGAAGGCGACUUUCUGGACUUGAACUGACGCUGAGGCACGAAAGCGUGGGGAGCAAACAGG